RNAcentral lists this ribosomal RNA (252 nucleotides) under uncultured bacterium. RNAcentral describes it as "partial 16S ribosomal RNA". It matches the Rfam family "Bacterial small subunit ribosomal RNA", at positions 524 to 776 of the family's 1533-position model. The record is from RNAcentral.
UACGGAGGGUGCGAGCGUUGUCCGGAAUCAUUGGGCGUAAAGGGCGCGUAGGCGGUCUCUUAAGCGUGUGGUGAAAGCCCGGGCUCAACUCCGGGUCGGCCGUGCGAACUGGGGGACUGGAGCUUGUCAGAGGCAGGCGGAAUUCCGGGUGUAGCGGUGGAAUGCGUAGAGAUCCGGAAGAACACCGGUGGCGAAGGCGGCCUGCUGGGACAAUGCUGACGCUGAGGCGCGACAGCGUGGGGAGCAAACAGG